UUCUGGCUCAGGAUGAACGCUGGCGGCGUGCCUAACACAUGCAAGUCGAACGAAGCACUUCUGAUUGGAGAUUCGUCGAAGAUUGGAUUGACUUAGUGGCGGACGGGUGAGUAGUGUAUGAGCAACCUGCCUUUCAGUGGGGGACAACAGUUGGAAACGACUGCUAAUACCGCAUAAUGUAUUGAGAGGGCAUCCUUUUGAUACCAAAGGAGCAAUUCGCUGAAAGAUGGGCUCAUAUCUGAUUAGUUAGUUGGCAGGGUAACGGCCUACCAAGACUUCGAUCAGUAGCCGGACUGAGAGGUUGAACGGCCACAUUGGGACUGAGAUACGGCCCAGACUCCUACGGGAGGCAGCAGUGGGGAAUAUUGGGCAAUGGGCGAAAGCCCUGACCCAGCAACGCCGCGUGAAGGAAGAAGGUCCUCGGAUUGUAAACUUCUUUUAUGAGGGACGAAGGACGUGACGGUACCUCAUGAAUAAGCCACGGCUAACUACGUGCCAGCCGCCGC
RNAcentral lists this ribosomal RNA (506 nucleotides) under uncultured bacterium. Its description in RNAcentral is "bacterial SSU rRNA". It matches the Rfam family "Bacterial small subunit ribosomal RNA", at positions 17 to 518 of the family's 1533-position model. The record is from RNAcentral.